Long non-coding RNA from Amphiprion ocellaris (clown anemonefish), 2029 nucleotides. RefSeq lists it as uncharacterized. The record is from RefSeq and is a predicted model, not a curated record. The transcript is spliced from 3 exons. NCBI's taxonomy places the organism in Eukaryota, Metazoa, Chordata, Actinopteri, Pomacentridae.
CACAUAUAUGCGCCGGAGGUAAACAGAAGACGUCGGAACGACGUGGGAGAAAAACAGACAGGCCGAAUGGAUUCUUUAUGUGAAGAUGGACAUGAGCUGGAUGGACAUUGUACAUCGGAGAUAGACGCGAAAUGAAUGGACAUUGUCUUCACGUAAAGGAAAGACGGAGCAGCGGUAUGGACGCUUGAUUAAUGGAUGUUAUCUUCAUGCUAAAGAGAGACAGAGCGGUAAUAUGGACGCAUGAUUGACAUACAUCAUUUUCACGUUGAAGAGAGACGGGAAUAAAUGUUUGUUAAGCAACAUUCAACAGGCCAGUCUGUUUAUUUAUGCCACGACCAAGAAACAAAAGAACACAACGCAGGACAUAACAACGGGUGUGAAGGUCCCUCUCUAUCUCCCCACACAUCCACCAACCACUGGAACACAUCUCCAAAGUUCUGCUGGACCAGCUCAGCUUCCCCUCAGAAGAAGUGGCGCCACCUGCCAGAUGAAGGAGCCUUUUGAGAGGCAGCUGGCAUCGUGAUUGGACUGUACUUUGGUCUGUUCCAGUCCAGCAUCAGUUCCAGAGACGGCAGGCAGGACGAUUCAACGGAGGCCUGGUGGACGAAGGCAUGAAGCUGAGUACAAUCCAGAAAACAACAGAGGAGGAGUGCAGCAGCCAGAACAACCAGAGUAGCAUGACCAAAGAACUACAGACUCUUCACAACCUGCUCAAACUCUUGGUACAGGACCUCACCACACGGAUCAAGAAGGUUUCUCUCAUUUCUACUCUGAAGCUCACCUUCUCCUGCUCAAACUGCUGACAAAUGUUUCUGCUGCUCUAAAGUCUGCUCUCCAGAACUUCCUAAAAACUCUCAAAGUCUCUUCUGCUGCAGGUUGCUUUGUAGAACUGUUCCAGAAAACCUCACUAAACCACAUGGAGGGGCCUCAAGAUAGUCGUCCAAAUGAAACCGUACAAAAACCAAACUACUACAACCCAAACACUAAAGUCUCCUGCAGCCUACCAGAGAACCUCUGAGAACAGAGAAUCAGGACAGGAACUCUUACCUUCUGGACAACCAACGUUGGUUCUCAAACAAGAAUACAGAAUGUGUCUGACCAAAAACCUCUGAAGACUCACUACAGCCAAGAUAAAGACACAACUCAGCUGCAUCAAAUCCACUAAUCACUGCACACAUUAGCACAAUGUUCUAACUGUGGCUAAAGAACCACAUUUACCAAGACAACUAUUCAGUACAAAGCCCUAAAACACACCAAGAAACACAUUAAAGAUGAUUUUACUGCUGGAAGCUGCAAGCCAACGCCUAAAGAACAAACUAAAGCAAAGGAACCAAACCCAGUUCUGUGGUGAAGAGAACCAGAGGAAAUUUUUGCCUGCAGCUAAAUAAAGCAGGAAGACACUGAGCUGCUCAGGUGUUCCUGAUAACACCAAGCAGCCACCUGGACAGCCAAUAGGAACACAGCUUCCUGGAAGUCCAGAGGGCUGGCUUAGUGAAGUAAAUUUAGUUUAAAGUUGAAGCAGAAAGUUAACAAAGAAAGUUGAAAACCACCUUCUGAUCCCUGAAAUCUCUGAGUUUUCACACAAAGAACACCUGAACAUGUCAAACUGGUUCCAUAGUAGAACCAUCAUUGUAAAAACGUCAUAGUAUGGUGUGUUGCUCAAAAAACAUUAGGACCCGACUGUCUAGGGUUGCUGAGGAGCAACACAAAAACAGGACAAACACUGGUUUCCAGGGGGUUAGGAGGAUAUUUAUUUGAAAGAGGAAGUUUACAACAACACAGCAUGUGAGCAGAAAAAUCACAGUCUGUCUUUAGUUCAGCUGAAAAUAUUAGUUUUUGUCUUUUUUUAUUGUCCAAUCUUUUCAGGAAGUAGAUGAAGAAUAAUUAAAGCUCUCAUGUAGAAGUCCAACUUAUUUUGGAUCCUUGUGGAGAGUUUAAUCUUAGAGUUUGUAAAGCUGCUGAGUUUUUAGAGUCACAUGGAUUGUUUUGACAUUUAAUAACCGAGUCCUGAAAUAAAAUUACAGUUGUG